UCGAGAAUCUUGGGCAAUGCGCGAAAGCGUGACCCAGCAAUGCCGCGUGCAUGAUGAAGGCCUUCGGGUUGUAAAAUGCUGUCACCCGGGAAGAAUACAAUGACGGUACCGGGGGAGGAAGCCACGGCUAACUACGUGCCAGCAGCCGCGGUAAUACGUAGGUGGCGAGCGUUGUUCGGAUUUAUUGGGCGUAAAGGGUCUGUAGGAGGUUUCUUAAAUUCGAGGUGAAAUCCCGAAGCUCAACUUCGGAACUGCCUUGGAGACUGGGAGACUAGAGGAUUGGCGAGGUAAGCGGAAUACCAAGUGUAGCGGUGGAAUGCGUAGAUAUUUGGUAGAACACCAAGAGCGAAGGCAGCUUGCUGGACAAUAACUGACUCUGAAAGACGAAAGCGUGGGGAGCAAACA
This 405-nucleotide ribosomal RNA is filed under the name uncultured Victivallis sp. RNAcentral's name for it is "partial 16S ribosomal RNA". It matches the Rfam family "Bacterial small subunit ribosomal RNA", at positions 355 to 774 of the family's 1533-position model. Lineage: Bacteria; Pseudomonadati; Lentisphaerota; Lentisphaeria; Victivallales; Victivallaceae. The record is from RNAcentral.